Molecule: ribosomal RNA, 298 nt
Filed under: uncultured Sphingomonadaceae bacterium
Lineage: Bacteria; Pseudomonadati; Pseudomonadota; Alphaproteobacteria; Sphingomonadales; Sphingomonadaceae
Description: partial 16S ribosomal RNA
Rfam family: Bacterial small subunit ribosomal RNA
Source: RNAcentral
UAACGCGUGGGAAUCUGCCCUUGGGUACGGAAUAACAGUUAGAAAUGACUGCUAAUACCGUAUGAUGUCUUCGGACCAAAGAUUUAUCGCCCAGGGAUGAGCCCGCGUAGGAUUAGCUAGUUGGUGGGGUAAUGGCCUACCAAGGCGACGAUCCUUAGCUGGUCUGAGAGGAUGAUCAGCCACACUGGGACUGAGACACGGCCCAGACUCCUACGGGAGGCAGCAGUGGGGUUUUUGGACAAUGGGCGAAAGCCUGAUCCAGCAAUGCCGCGUGAAGUGAUGAAGGCCUUAGGGUUGU